This 2643-nucleotide long non-coding RNA is filed under the name Homo sapiens (human). RNAcentral describes it as "HSALNT0324374". Lineage: Eukaryota; Metazoa; Chordata; Mammalia; Primates; Hominidae. The record is from RNAcentral.
CAGGUACCUCAGUUGGAAAUGCAGAAAUCACCCACCUUCUGCAUUGAUCUCGCUGGGAACUGCAGACUGAAGCGGUUCCUAUUUGGCCACCUUGCCAGCCCAUCUCGAACAUCAUCUAAAAGGACUGGACCUACAUCUGCAGUUAACUGCACAAUGGAAGAAACGGCCUCUCCUGGGCAGCCUCAUGGAUGGGGUGAAGAGACAAAGCUUGGGAGUGUAGCAUGUUGAGCACAUCUGCUCAGAGGUAACAUUUAAGCAAUAUCAGCUGAGGUUUCCCAAGCUCCCUAAAAUCUACAGAAGUUCGGCUCAAACCCCUAUCCCAGAUGCUGGAGAUGACCAAGUUCUCCAGAAACACGUAGCAAAUUCCAGGGUGGGAAGGAGAAUCUGAGCAAGGAGACAACGAUUACAUUCUCAUGGUCACUUGUCUCUUGAGCUAGUGCUUUAUUGGAAUUAGUUUAUUCUGUUAAGAGUUUCCCAAAUGUCCUGUCUUUAUGUUACACUCACAACAAAACAGACAUAAAGCACUGGCUUAGCCUCCAGUUCCACAGGAGCCUCAUCAACCCAUGCCUUCAACUGACGCCUAAGCUGAGACUAAAGAAGAUGGUAACCAAGUGAAGAGAUGGAGGUUUGGAGUGUCCAAGCAGAGAAACUACAUGUGGAAAUGCAUCGAAGCAAGAAAGAGCAUGACAUCUUCUUAGUACUGAAAGAAAAUACGACUGGACUUCAAAUAUUUUCUCAUUCGUGGGGUUAAGAGGUGGGUGUUUCUUUACUCCUCCUUUUCAAUACAUCCCAACAAAACAUCUGUGCACUUCUUUAGACAAGACCAAAAUGCAAAUAUUUUCGUUGCUGUUCUUUGUACUGUCACCAAAUCAAAAUAGUACCUUAGUUUUGUAUAAUUCUUUACAGUUUUCAAAGCAAUUUCCACUAUCUCAUUUGAAAUUCUCAGAGGCCCCUCACCACCAAAGAUAAUCAGUGAACUAUCUUUUUCAUGGAUCCAUUUGUGGGUUUCAACAAAAAUUAACUAUAGAACUUACUGAAACAUCAAACAUUUUAAGAAAUGGGAAAUAUUAUUUUUUUAACCAAAAAGCAAAAAGAGUGGUUUUUCAGACACACUUAUUGCAUAUAGCAAAGCAGCUCAUUUGGUGGGUGGGGGUGGGGUAUGGCAUUUUUUUUGUCUUACAGCCACGAGAAGCAGCAUUUUAGAAUAAUUAUUUACAAAUUUGUAAAACUUUAAAAAGAAUAGACUAUAUAACAUGUUGAAAUAGAAUCAUUGUUACACUUUGAUAAAACAUUAAACAAAACCCAGGUCUCCCUUUUCACCUUUCUAACCUCCCCUUUGGUCUGAUGACAGUCAUGGGGGUGAGGGAUUCACCGGGAUUCAGGUAGGGGCUCUGGGCCUGCCUAAGCCUUGCCAAGAAGCAGUUACCAGCUUGGCAGUGCAUACCUGAAGAAGGACAAUUGAACAUAAGGCUCUGUUGACGUGCCUGUAAAUUGUUCUGUUAGAGUUGGUCUAUUUAAAGCAAUUAUGAAUGCAUGGGUCAGUGCUAUUGGAAAAGAGCACUUUUGUACCCUUUCACAGGCCUCAGAAGCAGUGUAUUCUCCCCAUCUGACCCUCCGGAUGGUUCCAGGCCAAGCGUCUCUCAGGGAAGGCUGGUUUCUCUCAACGCCCCCUUUCUGUCUGUGUUUCUUGGUUACCAGACUUGCUUACUUUGUACUAUCCUCAGAGCCCAUGACUUCCUCUGCUUUUUUCCCUAUGGAACCUUCCUUUUCUCAAAAGUGCUCACAACCUUCUCUGUGUCUUAGUGAUCACAAGACUGAGCACAUUUCCUGUUCGCUGAAUAAGCUCUAUUCAAUACAAAUAAAUUAAAGAGGAAUAAGCAAAUUGCUUUAACGUUGUGAUUGCUCAUUAAGACUCUGAAAAAUACUCAAGAGCAUAGACUUGUUCCCUUAGAAAUACGAUCAACAGGUCAUUGAAAUCUUUGAACAUUAAGUAACUGCUAUGUGUAGAAGUGUUAUAUUGACAUUGUUACUGUGGAUCUCAUUUUCUCGCUGUUUUGAUAAUUUUUACUCCACAUUCCAUUAAAAUUAUUAUUUUAAAAAAUUAACACAAAGGCUUUCCCUUCCUCUGUGAUGGGCACCAGACCAAAGUUGAUGUGCAAUAGAAAGGAAAUAUUAAUCAGAGUGCAAAGCAGUGGAAAGAUCCCCACUGCUUUGCAGAUUAGAAAUGGAUGUCAGGAAGUUUCCUGCAGGAGGCCAUGUUAUUUCUUUACUCUCUUUGUAAAGAAACAAUUUACAAAAAAUGUUGAGUCUUGCCCUAGGAGGAAGGCGGUCCUGGAGACAAUGGCUUUGCCCUGAAGAAGACCAUGCUGUUGAACACCAUAUAAAUGAUGUGGCAGUGAGAGCCGAAGGCUGUGGGAUCUGAGAGCUGGCUCAGCCUCACUGCCCACCAGUCAUGGGAUCUUGGUGAAAUCACCAAUUCCUCUGAGCCCCAGUUUCCUCAUCUGUAACGUGGAUUUCAUAAAAAUCACUUCUUGUAUUGUAAGCGUUGAAAGCAUGAAUAUACAUAUAAUGUAAAUAAUUUCUCAUUGGAUAAAUCACAUGAAAAGUACUCAAUAAAUAAAACAUUAUUGUUUGUUAAUUCUU